This 754-nucleotide ribosomal RNA is filed under the name uncultured Bulleidia sp. RNAcentral's name for it is "bacterial SSU rRNA". It matches the Rfam family "Bacterial small subunit ribosomal RNA", at positions 28 to 776 of the family's 1533-position model. The record is from RNAcentral. Lineage: Bacteria; Bacillati; Bacillota; Erysipelotrichia; Erysipelotrichales; Erysipelotrichaceae.
GAUGAACGCUGGCGGCGUGCCUAAUACAUGCAAGUCGAACGCUGGAGAUCUAGCUUGCUAGAUCGAAGGAGUGGCGAACGGGUGAGUAAUACAUAAGCAACCUACCCACGAAGACUGGGAUAAUCUCUGGAAACGGGGACUAAUACCGGAUAGGUAAUCGGAAGGCAUCUUCUGGUUAUUAAAGGUUAAAAACACUGGUGGCUGGGCUUAUGGCGCAUUAGUUAGUUGGUGAGGUAACGGCCCACCAAGACGAUGAUGCGUAGCCGGCCUGAGAGGGCGAACGGCCACAUUGGGACUGAGACACGGCCCAGACUCCUACGGGAGGCAGCAGUAGGGAAUUUUCGGCAAUGGGGGCAACCCUGACCGAGCAACGCCGCGUGAGUGAAGACGGCCUUCGGGUUGUAAAGCUCUGUUGUAAGGGAAGAACGGUAGAUAGAGAAUAUCUAAGUGACGGUACCUUACCAGAAAGCCACGGCUAACUACGUGCCAGCAGCCGCGGUAAUACGUAGGUGGCGAGCGUUAUCCGGAAUUAUUGGGCGUAAAGGGUGCGUAGGCGGCCUGUUAAGUAAGUGGUUAAAUUGUUGGGCUCAACCCAAUCCAGCCACUUAAACUGGCAGGCUAGAGUAUUGGAGAGGCAAGUGGAAUUCCAUGUGUAGCGGUAAAAUGCGUAGAUAUAUGGAGGAACACCAGUGGCGAAGGCGGCUUGCUAGCCAAAGACUGACGCUCAUGCACGAAAGCGUGGGGAGCAAAUAGG